RNAcentral lists this transfer RNA (66 nucleotides) under Pterostichini sp. CYR01. RNAcentral describes it as "Pterostichinae sp. CYR01 tRNA-Ala". It matches the Rfam family "tRNA". From Rfam's summary of the family: Transfer RNA (tRNA) molecules are approximately 80 nucleotides in length. Lineage: Eukaryota; Metazoa; Arthropoda; Insecta; Coleoptera; Carabidae. The record is from RNAcentral.
AGGAUAAUAGUUAAAUAUAACAUUUGAAUUGCACUCAAAAAGUGUUGAAAAUAUCAACUUAUCUUA